Molecule: long non-coding RNA, 1633 nt
Filed under: Lynx pardinus (Iberian lynx)
Lineage: Eukaryota; Metazoa; Chordata; Mammalia; Carnivora; Felidae
Source: RNAcentral
GCAAAGCAUAUGCAAAUCACCCAGAAGAGAGACACAACAUCCACGGAAUGUCAGAAGAGACCUUGGAGAUGAUCCAGCCCACGCCCCCUCAUUUCACAGGUGAGGAAAGCGGCCCGCACCAGGCAGGGACUUGCUCAAGGUCACUGGGACAUUUGGGUGCUGAGGAAGAAUGGGAACGAGGUGUCUUUACUCAGAGUCCAGUGCUCUUUCCGGAGGGUCUUGUCCUUUAUAUGGGAGGUGGACAAGGUGGCAAAGAGGGCACAGGGCCUAAAUGGGGCUCCAGGAAGGCCUACCAGAGACUGGGGGUGAGGGGCAGGGAUAAGGCGAAGGGCUUCUCAGACCCUUCCCUUCCCACCUCUGAGCCUGGAAACGGUGGUGGCAGUGAUGGGAAGAGUGGACAAGGGCGGCAGCGAUGUCUGGGACCGCGUGUGGCUAGAGGGGCAGAGGGGCCUGAAGCCAGAGGCGCUGGUUUCCGGCAGCCAAGCAGCAGAAGGCGGCAGGAGAACUGGAGUGUCUGAAGCCCAGUGUCAGGGCAAGGUGCCCGCUGUGGUGCGGGGAGGGGGACAGCGCCCUUCACUACACACACAUCUCUAAGUGCUCAGCAGCCCCUUCCGCUCGGACUCUGAUAACUAUGGCACCUGACAGACCAUAAUAGUCAACCCAGGCCUGUCCCUCCAAUGGCUGCGGCUGCCCUCCACCCACCCCACCCCACCCCCAACUUGGCUUCUCAACCUUCCAGACAGUCCUAGAAAGCAGGACCAAUGCUGGGGGGAGGAAGGCAAACAGAUGGGAGGGGGCAGACAGAGUGAGGAAAGGGGAGACAAGGUGGGGAGAGAGAGAGUGAAGUGCAGAGCAGGAGAAACUGAGGGGUAGAGAGAGGGGAGGCAGGGGAGGAAGGGGGGCAGACUGAAGGGCAGAGCGGAGAGGGGAGGGUGGGGAUGGUGGGAGCAGCGGAGCAGAGAGGGAGGGCUCCCGGCCUCUGGACUGAAGGACAAAGCUGGGGCCUGGGUAUCAGGCAUAGGAGCCCCAUCGAGGCCUGGAGGCUGUCUGGCAGGAGUUGGGGACCAGGCCCCUGCCCCUCUGCCCACCUCCCCGGCGAUUCCAGGGGUUGCCAGGAAAUCAGUCCCUCCUCCUCUGCCUCCCUCCCUCCCUCCCUCUCUCCCUCGGGGCAGCAGCCAAAUCCAAAGCCUUCAUCUCUGCUUUUCAGAGCUGGGAAUGAAAGAAGGGGAAGCGAGUGCAGCCCUCAAACCCGCUGACGGCCAGAUUUUUAUUAUCUUUGCUCGAAUGGGCCCUAGGAAGCCAACAAGGGAUUCUUCAAAGAGCAUCUGAGUGGCUCAUUGAAGCCUGCACCUGCACCAGCCCACCCACGGCAGUCCGCCGGGGCUUGGGGGGCACAAGCUGUCCCCCACCUCCCACCAAGUCCAGAGACCAGACUCGAGGCUGCUAGAAGCCUCACCCUCAGCUCUCUGUGCCUAGGCAGGGGCCACUCGGUCAGGAAGCCAGGCUCAAAAGCCACACCCAGGCCUGCUGGGCCUCUGAGGCAGUCCCUGUCCCUCUCUGUGCCUUGAGGACACGAGUAAAAGAAGAAAUUGGAUCUCCUUGCCAGGGCUGGAGGAGAUAAGUGCUUGGGAUU